Molecule: ribosomal RNA, 792 nt
Filed under: uncultured archaeon
Lineage: Archaea
Description: bacterial SSU rRNA
Rfam family: Archaeal small subunit ribosomal RNA
Source: RNAcentral
ACGGCUCAGUAACACGUGGAUAACCUGCCCUAAGGGUGGAGGAUAACCCCGGGAAACUGGGGAUAAUACUCCAUAGGUUAAAGGUACUGGAAUGUUCUUUAACCGAAAGCUCCGGCGCCUUAGGAUGGAUCUGCGGCCGAUUAGGUUGUUGUUGGGGUAGUGGCCCAACAAGCCUGUAAUCGGUACGGGUUGUGGGAGCAAGAGCCCGGAGAUGGAAUCUGAGACACGAUUCCAGGCCCUACGGGGCGCAGCAGGCGCGAAAACUUUACAAUGCAGGAAACUGUGAUAAGGGAACCCCGAGUGCCCGUAUAUGCGGGCUGUCCGGAUGUUUAAAACGCAUCCGAAAGAAAAGGGGCCGGGCAAGACCGGUGCCAGCCGCCGCGGUAAUACCGGCGGCUCGAGUGGGUGGCCACUUUUAUUGGGCUUAAAGCGUUCGUAGCUUGAAUAAUAAGUCUCUUGGGAAAUCUGCAGGCUUAACCUGCAGGCGUUUAAGAGAAACUGUUGUUCUAGGAACCGGAAGAGGUGAGAGGUACUCCGGGGGUAGGAGUGAAAUCCUGUAAUCCCCGGGGGACCACCGAUGGCGAAGGCAUCUCACCAGGACGGCUUCGACAGUGAGGAACGAAAGCUGGGGGAGCGAACCGGAUUAGAUACCCGGGUAGUCCCAGCCGUAAACGAUGUGCGUUAGGUGUGCCGGUGACCACGAGUCACUGGGGUGCCGAAAGGGAAACCGUGAAACGUACCGCCUGGGAAGUACGGUCGCAAGGCUGAACUUAAAGGAAUUGGCGGGAGCAC